GAAGCAAACACAACCAGGAAAGUUCUAAGCCAGAAUCCUCAGCAAGCAAUUUAGAGCUCGCCCUGAUUGAGACCGACAGCAGCCCCACGCUGUCACCCGAGCACGCCCCGCAGGGCACCAAGCUGUGCCACGUACCUUCAGGCAGUCGUCCAUGAGGCCUCUGUGAGGACACAAAGCACGUCGUGUUUAUCCUCAAAUCAACAAGUAUGCAAAGGGUGUCCAGUGUGGGCAUUACACACACAGUGUGCGCAGGGAAGUUUUUAAGAAAAGACAACCUCCACUUCAGAAGGGCCUUCCCAGCUCCCCUGGCUGACAAGGAACACAUACACGAAAAGAAACAGAGGACAGGAUGGGAUUAAGGGGAAAAGGCUCCAGUAUAAGGAGUUAGCUCAGCUGGGUUUUUGCCCUAUGAGGGCUUAAUAUGUUCCAAGCAUUGGGAUUAUCUCAUUUAAGCCUUACA
Lutra lutra (Eurasian river otter) is the source of this 460-nucleotide long non-coding RNA. RefSeq lists it as uncharacterized. The record is from RefSeq and is a predicted model, not a curated record. The transcript has 3 exons. NCBI's taxonomy places the organism in Eukaryota, Metazoa, Chordata, Mammalia, Carnivora, Mustelidae.